GCCAGGCGUGGUGGCUCACGCCUGUAAUCCCAGCACUUUGGGAGGCUGAGGCGGGUGGAUCACCUGAGGUCAGGAGUUCGAGACAGCCUGGCCAAUAUGGUGAAACCCUGUCUCUA
RNAcentral lists this non-coding RNA (116 nucleotides) under Homo sapiens (human). The record is from Rfam by way of RNAcentral. Lineage: Eukaryota; Metazoa; Chordata; Mammalia; Primates; Hominidae.